RNAcentral lists this ribosomal RNA (497 nucleotides) under uncultured bacterium. RNAcentral describes it as "partial 16S ribosomal RNA". It matches the Rfam family "Bacterial small subunit ribosomal RNA", at positions 28 to 507 of the family's 1533-position model. The record is from RNAcentral.
GACGAACGCUGGCGGCGUGCCUAAUACAUGCAAGUUGAGCGAUGAAGAUUGGUGCUUGCACCAAUUUGAAGAGCAGCGAACGGGUGAGUAACGCGUGGGGAAUCUGCCUUUGAGCGGGGGACAACAUUUGGAAACGAAUGCUAAUACCGCAUAACAACUUUAAACAUAAGUUUUAAGUUUGAAAGAUGCAAUUGCAUCACUCAAAGAUGAUCCCGCGUUGUAUUAGCUAGUUGGUUAGGUAAAGGCUCACCAAGGCGAUGAUACAUAGCCGACCUGAGAGGGUGAUCGGCCAAAAUGGGACUGAGAAAAGGCCCAAACUUCUACGGGAGGGAGCAGGAGGGGAUCUUCGGCAAUGGACGGAAGUCUGACCGAGGAACGGCGCGUGAGUGGAGAAGGUUUUCGGAUCGUAAAACUCUGUUGGUAGGGAAGAACGUUGGUUGGAGUGGAAAGCUCAUAAAGUGACGGUAACUACCCAGAAAGGGACGGCUAACUACGUG